AUUCUUACCUGGCAGGGGAGGUUCGAUGAUGAAAGGUGAUUUUCUCAGGGUAAACUUUACAUUGCACUCCAGAUGUGCUGACCCCUAUGAUUUCCACAAAUGUGGGAAACUCAACUGCCUAAUUAUGGCAGUAGUAGACUGUGUUUGGUCUACUU
Molecule: small nuclear RNA, 155 nt
Filed under: Nannospalax galili (Upper Galilee mountains blind mole rat)
Lineage: Eukaryota; Metazoa; Chordata; Mammalia; Rodentia; Spalacidae
Description: U1 spliceosomal RNA (ENSNGAG00000001716.1)
Rfam family: U1 spliceosomal RNA
About the family: U1 is a small nuclear RNA (snRNA) component of the spliceosome (involved in pre-mRNA splicing). Its 5' end forms complementary base pairs with the 5' splice junction, thus defining the 5' donor site of an intron.
Source: RNAcentral